UAUAAAAGCAUAAUCCCCCUCAGACUAAACCCAUUUCUCUUUAAAUAUUCUCUCUUCUCCUUACUUCUCCCAACUUUCUCUAAACCCUCUCAAACUAACCCAACGGCCCUCCCCUCAAACCACCACCAACCGCCUUCAACCUACCACCGGGCGCCCUAAAAGCCACCAUGAAACCUAGUUUUUGGUUGAAGCUUCACCAGAAACUUCAUCCUCCAUCAAAACUUUCCAGAAUCCCUCUAAAUCAAGUCAAAACAUGCAAUGAUAUGAACAAACCCGUAACCAAAUCCCUUCCUAAACACAAUUCCCAAACAAAAACAACCAAAAACCUGCAAUUAGAAGAGAAAAAAAUCUAAAACCCUAAUCUUCCCCUCAUUCAAAAUCAAAACAAAUUCACCCUAACCCUUCAAUCGAAUAAUCAAACCACAACAGAAAUCACAACAACAUACAAAUACAAACACAAAUCAAGCCAAGACAAAGAGAUUAACCAAUAAACCCUAAGUCAAAAUAAAGUCUCAUUCUAGUUCAAACACAUUCAACACAAGCUUGGUGAGCAACAAUUAUAAUAAUCCACAAUGAAAAUUUUAGGAGAAGUGAAGUAUUACCACUCCAGAUGUUACUGGAGGGAUGAUCCACAAAUAAGUCCCAUGGAUUCUCUGUUCUCUUCCUUUUUUAUCUUAUCCACUUCUUCUACACCUUCUAUCUAUGUCCUUGAAACGGUUUGGAAAAAUCAUCCUUAAGUUUAGGCUUUCAUGUGAGAUUGAAGAUGGAUAAGAGGGACUGGAGAAAGCUUCUUGGAGAAAACUUGAGUAGGAAUAAGUGAUGGACCAAAAGUGAAGGUUUAAAUAUGAAUUGUUGGUGAAGAAGUUGGAUCAAAGCUUGAAGAUGAAUAGUCAUUAGGUGUUAGUUUUGUAGGCUUUUAAGUUCCAAUUAUGAACAAAAUGGUUAAAACUAAAAAAUGUACAAGAAUGUAAUGAAAAUGUGUAGUUGUUUGAUUGGCUGCAUUUUGUGUUAAAACACUAACUGUAUUCUGAUGUCUUAACUGAUGUCAUGACAUGCUUGAGUAGCAUGUUGCAGGAUUAGCUAAUACAAGAUUUACUGAAUGUCAAACUGGAUGUUAUGACAUUCAUCCAUGACAGCAGAUACUGAACUAUAGAAUAGUUGAUUUUUCUGUUA
Lathyrus oleraceus (garden pea) is the source of this 1173-nucleotide long non-coding RNA. RefSeq lists it as uncharacterized. The record is from RefSeq and is a predicted model, not a curated record. The transcript has 2 exons. NCBI's taxonomy places the organism in Eukaryota, Viridiplantae, Streptophyta, Magnoliopsida, Fabales, Fabaceae.